RNAcentral lists this ribosomal RNA (253 nucleotides) under uncultured bacterium. RNAcentral's name for it is "partial 16S ribosomal RNA". It matches the Rfam family "Bacterial small subunit ribosomal RNA", at positions 524 to 776 of the family's 1533-position model. The record is from RNAcentral.
UACAGAGGGUGCAAGCGUUGCUCGGAUUUACUGGGCGUAAAGCGUACGCAGACGGCAUUAAAGGUCGGACGUGAAAGCCCCGGGCUCAACCCGGGAAAUGCGUCCGAAACCAUCUUGCUCGAGUAUGAGAGAGGGAAGCGGAAUUCCUGGUGUAGAGGUGAAAUUCGUAGAUAUCAGGAGGAACAUCUGCGGCGAAGGCGGCUUCCUGGCUCAUUACUGACGUUCAGGUACGAAAGCGUGGGUAGCAAACAGG